CGUUGUCCGGCAUGUGCUGAAGUCUGGGUGCUUUGUUUGUUGCUCGCCAGUACCGUGCGGGUGAGCAAACCGUACUAAGGAGAAGGUUAGACCUGAACCAGACCUGGUGAGCCCAGGGUCCUACCUGCUGGUGCACAGGUGCAUUGGGCCAAGAAGGCUGAACUGGUGACACGUAGUGGUCAGCAGGACAGCCACUGCUCUUUUUCUCCGACCAUAGUUUCAGUUUAGAUUGUGCUCAAGUGCCUCCAUCUUGCUCCCUCUAUUUAUAGAGAUAAAACACUGAUAUUGUGCCCUUUUGAUGACCGUUGCUUCCCCCUUCCCCACUUCUAUUGUGUU
Molecule: long non-coding RNA, 336 nt
Organism: Gasterosteus aculeatus aculeatus (three-spined stickleback)
Lineage: Eukaryota; Metazoa; Chordata; Actinopteri; Perciformes; Gasterosteidae
Source: Ensembl